This 253-nucleotide ribosomal RNA is filed under the name uncultured bacterium. RNAcentral's name for it is "partial 16S ribosomal RNA". It matches the Rfam family "Bacterial small subunit ribosomal RNA", at positions 526 to 779 of the family's 1533-position model. The record is from RNAcentral.
CGUAGGGUGCAAGCGUUAAUCGGAAUUACUGGGCGUAAAGCGUGCGCAGGCGGUUAUAUAAGACAGUUGUGAAAUCCCCGGGCUCAACCUGGGAACUGCAUCUGUGACUGUAUAGCUAGAGUACGGUAGAGGGGGAUGGAAUUCCGCGUGUAGCAGUGAAAUGCGUAGAUAUGCGGAGGAACACCGAUGGCGAAGGCAAUCCCCUGGACCUGUACUGACGCUCAUGCACGAAAGCGUGGGAGCAAACAGGAUU